RNAcentral lists this ribosomal RNA (494 nucleotides) under uncultured bacterium. Its description in RNAcentral is "partial 16S ribosomal RNA". It matches the Rfam family "Bacterial small subunit ribosomal RNA", at positions 28 to 506 of the family's 1533-position model. The record is from RNAcentral.
GACGAACGCUGGCGGCGUGCCUAAUACAUGCAAGUAGAACGCUGAAGGAGGAGCUUGCUUCUCUGGAUGAGUUGCGAACGGGUGAGUAACGCGUAGGUAACCUGCCUGGUAGCGGGGGAUAACUAUUGGAAACGAUAGCUAAUACCGCAUAAGAGUAGAUGUUGCAUGACAUUUGCUUAAAAGGUGCAAUUGCAUCACUACCAGAUGGACCUGCGUUGUAUUAGCUAGUUGGUGGGGUAACGGCUCACCAAGGCGACGAUACAUAGCCGACCUGAGAGGGUGAUCGGCCACACUGGGACUGAGACACGGCCCAGACUCCUACGGGAGGCAGCAGUAGGGAAUCUUCGGCAAUGGACGGAAGUCUGACCGAGCAACGCCGCGUGAGUGAAGAAGGUAUUCGGAUCGUAAAGCUCUGUUGUAAGAGAAGAACGAGUGUGAGAGUGGAAAGUUCACACUGUGACGGUAUCGUACCAGAAAGGGACGGCUAACUACGU